GCCCCCUCUGGCGGAGCUCGGAAAAGGCCCCAAGAUGGGAUCUCUUGGGUACAGAAGGUUGCGGCGGUGGAAAUAGGGUUCCGUGUUCCUCCUGGAUGUUUGUCGGUUGUCAUGCUUGUGGUCGAUUCAGCCGGGGAUCAACAACGCCGUCAUCGCCGGUGGCAUGGAUACCAUGUCCAAUGCCCCCAAAUACGCUGCAACAACAAGGUAGAAGAUAGCAAUGGAGUGGAUAUGGAUGACUAUAUGAAAGUAUGCAGGUUUCUUAUCAAACUUAACAACGAGAUACUAGGGGUGAUCGACGUGGACUACCGCGACCAGGUGGGCAUCGUGCUCUUCAACCACUCAGAGACGGACUUCACCGUGAAGCCCGGUGACCGCGUCAUAGAGAUGAUUGUCCAGGUGAUUGCAGCGCCGGAGGUCGCCGAGGUGGAGGACCUUGACGCCACCGUCCGGAGUCGU
RNAcentral lists this ribosomal RNA (459 nucleotides) under Triticum aestivum (bread wheat). Its description in RNAcentral is "partial small subunit ribosomal RNA". Lineage: Eukaryota; Viridiplantae; Streptophyta; Magnoliopsida; Poales; Poaceae. The record is from RNAcentral.